RNAcentral lists this ribosomal RNA (228 nucleotides) under Staphylococcus sp. HMSC057A02. RNAcentral describes it as "partial 23S ribosomal RNA". It matches the Rfam family "Bacterial large subunit ribosomal RNA", at positions 2299 to 2526 of the family's 2925-position model. Lineage: Bacteria; Bacillati; Bacillota; Bacilli; Caryophanales; Staphylococcaceae. The record is from RNAcentral.
AACGGAGGCGCUCAAAGGUUCCCUCAGAAUGGUUGGAAAUCAUUCAUAGAGUGUAAAGGCAUAAGGGAGCUUGACUGCGAGACCUACAAGUCGAGCAGGGUCGAAAGACGGACUUAGUGAUCCGGUGGUUCCGCAUGGAAGGGCCAUCGCUCAACGGAUAAAAGCUACCCCGGGGAUAACAGGCUUAUCUCCCCCAAGAGUUCACAUCGACGGGGAGGUUUGGCACCU